This 379-nucleotide ribosomal RNA is filed under the name uncultured bacterium. RNAcentral's name for it is "bacterial SSU rRNA". It matches the Rfam family "Bacterial small subunit ribosomal RNA", at positions 28 to 400 of the family's 1533-position model. The record is from RNAcentral.
GACGAACGCUGGCGGCGUGCCUAACACAUGCAAGUGGAGCGACGAACCGGGCUUCGGCCCGGGGCCAAGCCGCGAACGGGUGAGUAACACGUGGGUAACCUGCCCUGAUGAUUGGGACAACCCGAGGAAACUCGGGCUAAUACCGAAUGUGCCCUCCGACCAUAAGGUCUGCGGGGAAAGGAAGCUUCGGCCUCCGCAUCGGGAUGGGCCCGCGGCGCAUUAGCUUGUUGGUGAGGUAACGGCUCACCAAGGCGACGAUGCGUAGCUGGUCUGAGAGGACGAUCAGCCACACUGGGACUGAGACACGGCCCAGACUCCUACGGGAGGCAGCAGUGGGGAACCUUGCGCAAUGCGCGAAAGCGUGACGCAGCAACGCCGC